CGCCUGUUUAUCAAAAACAUCGCCACAGGAAACCACUAUCUGAGGUCCAUCCUGCCCAGUGACAUAAUAGUUUAACGGCCGCGGUACCCUGACCGUGCUAAGGUAGCAUAAUCAUUUGCCUUUUAAUUGGAGGCUAGUAUGAAUGGAUACACGAGGGUAUAGUUGUCUCCUUUAUGGCCCUGUAAAUUAUCCUUUAGGUGAAGAGACCUAAAUACUAUAAAAAGACGAAAAGACCCUAUGGAGCUUUACUUAACUUUCUUCCACACAUAGUACAAAAACAUGUAUAAAAGAGAAAAAGUUCAGUUGGGGCGACUAAGGAGCACAAAAAAACCUCCUCUUAUUACAUCGGACCUGCUCCCCACAAAGAUCCACACCCGUGAAUAUAGAUCCAGCUACCCUAGGGAUAACAGGCUAAUCCUCCUCGAGAGCCCAAAUUGACAGGAGGGGUUGGCACCUCGAUGUUGGCUUAAGGUCCCUCCAAGGUGCAGCUGCUUUGGAAGUAGGUUUGUUCACCCUUUAAAACCUUACGUGAUCUGAGUUCAGACCGG
This 548-nucleotide ribosomal RNA is filed under the name Aurospio foodbancsia. RNAcentral's name for it is "partial 16S ribosomal RNA". It matches the Rfam family "Bacterial large subunit ribosomal RNA", at positions 1797 to 2619 of the family's 2925-position model. The record is from RNAcentral. Lineage: Eukaryota; Metazoa; Annelida; Polychaeta; Spionida; Spionidae.